Molecule: ribosomal RNA, 360 nt
Filed under: uncultured eukaryote
Lineage: Eukaryota
Description: SSU rRNA
Rfam family: Eukaryotic small subunit ribosomal RNA
Source: RNAcentral
CCAGCAGCUGCGGUAAUUCCAGCUCCAAUAGCGUAUAUUAAAGUUGUUGCAGUUAAAACGCUCGUAGUCUGGUGUGGAGUGUGUGGGGGUGUAGGUCGAUAGAUUUGCAUACUCGCACACUCGUUCUGACAGAUAUGUCGGGGUUACUUUGAGGAAAUUAGGGUGUUCAAGGCAGGCGUGUGCUUGGAUAUCGCAGCAUGGAAUAAUGGAAUAGGACUCGCGUCUUAUUUUGUUGGUUUGGAGAUGUGAGUAAUGAUGAAUAGGGACAGUUGGGGGCAUUGGUAUUCAGUAGUCAGAGGUGAAAUUCUUGGAUUUACUGAAGACUAACUAGUGCGAAAGCAUUUUCCAAGGAUGUUUUCA